CGAGUGAUGAGUGUCCAUUAAUGUUGCAGUUAGCGAAGUCUCUUGUCAUUGAGAACGGAUAUUCAUAUUUGGUAUUAUUUGAUUCAAAUCCAAAAAAUUUUAGAUCUAAGAGGUAUUAGAUCUAUCUCAGCUUUGAGAAGUUUGGGAUCUUUGAAUUUGUAGAAAUUUGGGUUCCUUAGUGGUUGCUCACAUAGAUGAAUAAUCUUUUUUGAGAUUAAUAUGAGAAUGGUGGUUGAAAUGGAAGAAGAACAAAGUAAUUUAAGG
This 264-nucleotide unclassified non-coding RNA is filed under the name Hevea brasiliensis (rubber tree). Lineage: Eukaryota; Viridiplantae; Streptophyta; Magnoliopsida; Malpighiales; Euphorbiaceae. The record is from RNAcentral.